AGAACGAACGCUGGCGGCAUGCCUAAUACAUGCAAGUCGAACGAACACUUCGGUGUUAGUGGCGCACGGGUGCGUAACGCGUGGGAAUCUGCCCUUGGGUUCGGAAUAACAGUUGGAAACGACUGCUAAUACCGGAUGAUAUCGAAAGAUCAAAGAUUUAUCGCCCAGGGAUGAGCCCGCGUAGGAUUAGCUAGUUGGUGAGGUAAAGGCUCACCAAGGCGACGAUCCUUAGCUGGUCUGAGAGGAUGAUCAGCCACACGUGGGACU
Molecule: ribosomal RNA, 267 nt
Filed under: uncultured soil bacterium
Lineage: Bacteria
Description: partial 16S ribosomal RNA
Rfam family: Bacterial small subunit ribosomal RNA
Source: RNAcentral